Molecule: ribosomal RNA, 507 nt
Filed under: uncultured bacterium
Lineage: Bacteria
Description: bacterial SSU rRNA
Rfam family: Bacterial small subunit ribosomal RNA
Source: RNAcentral
GGCUCAGGAUGAACGCUAGCGGCAGGCUCAACACAUGCAAGUCGAGGGGCAUCGGGAGUAGCAAUACUUGCCGGCGACCGGCGCAAGGGUGCGUAACGCGUGAGCAACAUGCCCGUAUCAGGGGGAUAAUCCAUGGAAACGUGGUCUAAUACCCCAUAGUAAUUAUGUAAGGCAUCUUAUAUAAUUUAAAGCUUUGGUGGAUACGGAUUGGCUCGCGUGACAUUAGCUAGAUGGUAAGGUAACGGCUUACCAUGGCUACGAUGUCUAGGGGUUCUGAGAGGAAGGUCCCCCCACACUGGAACUGAGACACGGUCCAGACUCCUACGGGAGGCAGCAGUGAGGAAUAUUGGACAAUGGAUGGAAAUCUGAUCCAGCCAUGCCGCGUGCAGGGAAAGACGGCCCUAUGGGUUGUAAACUGCUUUUGUAUGGGAGCAAUAAGGGCCUACGUGUAGUCCGAUGAGAGUACCAUACGAAUUAAGCACCGGCUAACUCCGUGCCAGCAGCGGC